Macadamia integrifolia is the source of this 723-nucleotide long non-coding RNA. RefSeq lists it as uncharacterized. The transcript has 2 exons. Lineage: Eukaryota; Viridiplantae; Streptophyta; Magnoliopsida; Proteales; Proteaceae. The record is from RefSeq and is a predicted model, not a curated record.
UUCUUCUUCUUCUUCUCCCUUCCUUCUCUCUUCUGGUCGUACGAAAGCUUCUCCCAUAUCUUCUGCAGAUUGAGCCCUUUGUGUCCUCUCUUCUGUUCGGAGGAAGCAAACUCUCACAUCGACCCUUACUCUCUUCUUCUUCUUCUCUCUCCUUACCCUCUUCUGUUCAUAGCAGUGCCUAGGCGGUGAGCUGCUGCCUUUACCGUGAGACGCCAUUCGAGUGAAAACCUAGGUUUAUCCAUUCAGGGAAUAGCCUAAAGCAAGGAGAUAUGGGAGAAGCUUUCGUACAACCAGAAGAGGGAAAGGAGGGACAAGAAGAAGAAGAAGAAGAAGAGGAGGUGAACCGUUUUGGUCGACCCGGUUGAGUUUUCAAAACCAAAUAUUAGAUGAUCCACCAUACACGUGUCGGCAUCGCAAGUUGGCUCUGCCAGGCUCCGCCAAAAAAGCACGCCGCAGACGAGCUCGAACCUUUCGGUACCAGUAUCGACCUUGAUCGAUACGGAUCAGCCGAUAUGAUACAUACAUCCAUUUCGGAUGAAAUAAAUGGCUUUUUAUCCAAUGUUAGUCCGUACGGCUUAUACAUGUCGAUAUCAGUAUCAGUAUUGCCGGCAUCUGAUACCCAUCCCAAUAUUGUUAUGCAAACUCCAGUAAAAUAGAUGUAGACAUUUUAUCAUUAUAUAGCUAAUGUACUCCUCAUUAUUAGUAUUUCACACUACUUGGUCC